Sapajus apella (tufted capuchin) is the source of this 835-nucleotide long non-coding RNA. RefSeq lists it as uncharacterized. The transcript is spliced from 2 exons. The record is from RefSeq and is a predicted model, not a curated record. Lineage: Eukaryota; Metazoa; Chordata; Mammalia; Primates; Cebidae.
CAUGCCCUACAAACCAUAAAUUCUCAUCAGAUGGGUUUUACUUAACUCUGUAUAUUGUAUAUAUUUCCUUCCUUCCUUUCCAAAUCCAGGAGAUAAUCAACUAAGAGCCAGGCACCCUUUUAAGUCCGUUGAGUAACAUUUUAUAACCUGCUCUCUCUGAAGUCUGCUCUCUGAGACACAGAAACAUUCCAAGCCUGUGCAAUUUGCAUGAGGAGGACAACUAACCUGAAGAGGACUGCAAGGCUUGGGCUGGGACUACUCCCCAGGAGGUUCUCAAAACCCUCAGGUCUCAGGAAUCCAUCUCCAACCACCCACAAUGGGGAGUAUUUUGCUCUCUAACCCUUGUCCCCUCCUCCUCCCUCAUCCUCCCUUCUCUCUCUGUCUUCCUCGUGUGGCUCCCAUCCAAAAGGCCCUUUGCCAAUUCCAACUGAACAUCCCACAUCAGACAUUAAUCCAGCCAACUGGUAAGAUCUGCCCUUCCCUGACCUUCUUGCAGUACCCAGGAAAGUCAGGUCUGACAUCCCAGUUCUCGGAGGACCAAUGGGACUAAGCUAGAAGAAAUCUUGGGGACACCCAGUUUCUUCUCAGCUUGACCAUCCUCUUCAUGAAAAGGAUUCUAGGUCUCUGUCUUUUGUCUGGAAAUGCCUAGAACAAAACAGACACCCUUGGUUUUCUCUUACCAGUCCACAUGAGUGCCAGACAGUCCCAGAUUCCUACUGGCCUGUCUCUUUCACAACCUCACCAAACUUGGCUUAUGGGAAGCAUAAAGCCAAAGUGGUUUUUUUUUUUUUUUUUUAAUUGCAACAUGGUCUGGCCCCAACACAAAUUAGAUAAU